RNAcentral lists this small RNA (800 nucleotides) under Histoplasma ohiense. Its description in RNAcentral is "hypothetical lncRNA". The record is from RNAcentral. Lineage: Eukaryota; Fungi; Ascomycota; Eurotiomycetes; Onygenales; Ajellomycetaceae.
ACGCCUAUUGCCUAUGGUGUUUUGAGGGCGAAUGCCAUACUAGUGCCUUGGCGAGUCGGAAUUUUUGACAACGUCGUUCAAGAAGAUAGCAAGGACCACUGUCGUCAUCGAAUAAUGGACUCGCUCGGCAGAGGAUAUAUACGGUGGAGCGCUAGGAGCUGAUCAAACCUUAGCUUCAACUCCAGGUUUCUUCCUCGUAUUUUGCCCCAGUUGAUGGGCUGUGGCGUGAUGAGGUUCCCUGGCAUUUGCAUGGGUAGCAAUCAUUCUUUUAAGGAGAAGACGAGAAUGUACUCUGUACUGUACAACAGUAACUGGGAUUUUUAGGGCUAGAGGGAAGUGCGUUUCGCAACAUAAUCCGAAACGUAUGUGAUGGCUCUGAUGAGUGAUCCUGUUGAUCCCAUUUAUCCCUGCUGUGUCCGCAGAUCAUAGAUCAGCCACAAAAUUCGCAGGGCUCGGAUGGGGCUACACCACGAAAAGAAUAAAGAUAAGGGUAGUAUCGGAGGGCGGGUUCCUUUGCCCACAUUCUUACACCACAUCUCAUAUUUCGGGUAUUAGAUAUCGAUACAUCUGCGUCAGCCGCGUGCAGAACUGCAAAUCCGAGGCGGGCAACCAGUUGCGACAUGGUGAUGGCGCAGGUAGCUGUACAUUUCACUAAAUGGGGGCCAUGCACUGCAUACUGUAUUUGAUCGGGCUAAUAUUGUUAUUCUUGGGAAUAGUUGGGAACAUAGUUGGGCUAACUAUUAUCGUCAAUUAUGCUCUGUUGGAUUUGGUGUCUCGUGAGCCCAACUCCGCCUCAGCCA